RNAcentral lists this transfer RNA (72 nucleotides) under Ornithorhynchus anatinus (platypus). It matches the Rfam family "tRNA". From Rfam's summary of the family: Transfer RNA (tRNA) molecules are approximately 80 nucleotides in length. Their secondary structure includes four short double-helical elements and three loops (D, anti-codon, and T loops). Lineage: Eukaryota; Metazoa; Chordata; Mammalia; Monotremata; Ornithorhynchidae. The record is from Rfam by way of RNAcentral.
UGCAGGGUGGCUCAGUGGAAAGAGCACGGGCUUGGGAGUCAGAGGUCAUGGGUUCGAAUCCCCACCCUGCCA